CUCUAAUACACUCUAACACACACUCUAACACACACACACACACUCUAACACACACUAACACACACUAACACACACACACACUAACACACACACAGACAUACUACAUGUAUUUACAUGUGUCUCGAUGCACUGAAUUGCACAAGCUUGUGAGAGGUAGCUUUUUGAGAACCAGACUUUUUUUUAAGGAAGGUUCUUUUGCUUCUUAUGGUCCACAAAAAAAGCUACAUCUCAACAUAACAUUGCUGUAAUGUAAAGGUUGGCGUAACAUUGCUGUAAUGUAAAGGUUGGCGUAACAUUGCUGUAAUGUAAAGGUUGGCGUAACAUUGCUGUAAUGUAAAGGUUGGCGUAACAUUGCUGUAAUGUAAAGGUUGGCGUAACAUUGCUGUAAUGUAAAGGUUGACGUAACAUUGUAGCACUGUAACAUUCUGCAACGUUUAGGCAACACUUGCUUACAGGAAGUCGACCUUCAAAGCCCUACACAGCUCUUUGUAGGUCGGCUAUCUGCCAGACUUGGAAGAAUUAUGCAUUAUUACAAACGUUGAGGAAAUAAUCUUUCCAUAACUUAAAUGUAACAUUUCAAUAGUUCUGCUGCACUGUGAAUGGAAACGCUGACACAACAUUAGGCUCUUUAUCCUGUCUGUGUAGGCAGGAGAUACCAGACAUAAAGUUAUCAGAUGUAAUGCAAAGCCACUGUGGAUGUAAGACUGUACAAACAAGGCUACUUUACCUAUACCAGGAGUCGGCAACAGACGGGCCCGCGGGCCAAAACCGGUCGAAAAAGACUGUAAAAUCACCAGAAAUUCAGCCCAAUUUUUUUUGCAUAAUUUAGUAAAUUUGUUCCCAAGUAUUCCCACGAAUAAAUAAAGAGACAUAUGUAAUGGUGCCUCGGUAUAAUCAAGGUUUGAAAUGAUUGUAUUUGAAAAUACAAUCUCUUUUUGAGCUUGCAGUGUACAAAUGAUUAGAAUUAUGUUCUGGCCCCCGGACCACAAAACUUGUCUUGUGGCUGAAUCUAGUUGCCAACCCCUGACGUACAGUAUGGCUUUCAGGGCUAAAGGCUGAUUCUGAUAUAUGCAUUUUAAAUAGUAUAAAUAUAUAUAUUAAUGACGAUUAGCAGAUCACAUUGAUUUCAUCCUAAUUAUAAUCAUUUUUAAUUUGAAAAGGGUAAUUUUUCUGUCUUUUGUGCAAUAAUAUUAUUGUGUGUAGAGAGAGCGAGUCCUAAUAUUGAGAUGUACAGUUGAAUUAAUUGAAUGAACUGAAUAUAAAAUAAUAAAAUGUAGACACGUUAUCUAGGAGUA
Long non-coding RNA from Salvelinus namaycush (lake trout), 1295 nucleotides. RefSeq lists it as uncharacterized. NCBI's taxonomy places the organism in Eukaryota, Metazoa, Chordata, Actinopteri, Salmoniformes, Salmonidae. The transcript has 2 exons. The record is from RefSeq and is a predicted model, not a curated record.